Molecule: long non-coding RNA, 2190 nt
Organism: Dunckerocampus dactyliophorus (ringed pipefish)
Lineage: Eukaryota; Metazoa; Chordata; Actinopteri; Syngnathiformes; Syngnathidae
Exons: 4
Source: RefSeq, a predicted model, not a curated record
UACAAAGUCACACUCUACAGACGAGCACAGUGAUUAACAGCAAUAACUAUUAUUAACUACGUGGUCCACGUGUCAUUAGUUACCUGAGCUCCGUUGGCACAGACCAGGCUGAGCUCCACGAUGAAUACCGACUCUGCAGAGAUGACGGCGUCCGAGGUGGUGUAGGCCGACGGGGUGAUCGUCGGUUCGGUACAGCUCUCUCCUGUCACCACGGUUGUAAAAUAAAUACACAGGUCCGGUGAGUAUGCUGACCAUGCAAGAACUGGGACGUUUUCAGCUUCCAAGAAUUGUGUACAGAUCCUUCCAACAUGGGGCCGUGCAUUAUUCUGCUGCAACAUGAGAUGAUGUUCUUGGAUGCACCUGCCCAUACCAUAACCCCACCGCCACCAUGGGCCACUCGAUCCACAACAUCAGAAAACCGCCCACCCAAACGACGCCACACACCCUCUGCCAUCUGCCCUGAACAGAGUAAACCGGGAUUCAUCCAUGAAGAGAACACCUCUCCAACGUGCAGGACGCCAUCCAACGUGAGCAUUUGCCCACUCAAGUCGGUUAUGACGACGAACUGGAGUCAGGUCGAGACUCCGAUGAGGAUGACGAGCAUGCAGAUGAGCUUCCCUGAAACGAUUUCUGACAGUUUGUGCAGAAAUCCUUUGGUUAUGCAAACCGAUUGUUUCAGCAGCGGUCCGAGUGGCUGGUCUCAGACGAUCUUGGAGGUGAACAUGCUGGAUGUGGAGGUCCUGGGCUGGUGUGGCCAAAAUAUGCAAAAUACUUGGGACGUCUCCCUGUAACAGCCCUGCUCCUCUCCCCUUGCGUCCCUCACGUCCCCCCCUCUUUUGAGCUGCCUGGCCAGCAGGAGUGGAGGCGGCGACGGCGGAGGAGGAAGAAGAGAUCUCUUGCAGUGUGUGCUUUGAGACAAGCUCCUUGAAGACUGAGUCCAUCUGGCGACAGACCUCCUGGGAUAAAUAAAACAUGAUGAGAAGGAAGCUAUAACUUUAGUUUUUUGGACUCCGGUGAGUGUACAUCGCAUUUGGCUAUGUAUGACUUAGUGGUGACAAACUCGUAUUUAACUCAGUCAUAGGCCGAUAUUAUUUAAAAAGACCGAAGAGCACAAACCUUGUCUACUUGAAUUGUAUCUUCAGCAGCGGCUUGUAGCUGUCUGUCGGAGGACAAAAAAGCUGCAUAUGAAUGUGCACACAAAAACAGUUGAAUUGUGAGUGCGACUGCACUCACUCUCUGCGUGCAAAGCCAGGAGAGUGGAUCCUUCUCGGCCUGCCUUGGGGCCCAGUGGGAAUCUGGAGGACAAUCUUUCCACCUGAAGGGAUGCUGACUCCUGCUGCUGGUCCUGAUGCUGACCUACGGUGGUCUGCAAGGCCACCCUUGUUGGAUUUAGAACCUUCUGCCCUUUUCUGAGGGGGUCCUGUGGUGGAGUUGCUGCGAUUUACCAACUGUCCCACUUCCACUUCUGUAGCACAUCAUAUUUGGACGUUAUUUAUUCUAAUAAGAAAAAGCAGAUACCUUAUUGAAAAGUAAGAUGUACAGAUACUCAACUUACCAACUUUAGCAUGAGAGAACUCUGCCUCCCCAUCCCCUUCCUCAACAACGGCUUCACUGUGAAGGAAAACACCAUUAGAGAGUGACAACACCGUCUUUUGUACAGCUUUUGUCUUACCAGUCAUCUUGUUCCUGCGUCAUGCACUUCUCAUACACGGGACCUCUGAUCUCGCUCUGACUGGGGAAGAUGUUCUCGUGCUGGACGAUCAAGCUCUUUACUAGGGCGUUGAUCUGAGGCUGCAGGGUGACCACAUCGUCGUCGUUGGCCCCUCUGACAAGACUGGGGCCAAAACAGACGGCGAGGUUGUACGGCUGCAUCAUGUUCUCAUCGCUGUAUUGAGACACACUGGCCACAAGAAUAAAAAGAGAAGAAAAAUGCUGAAAUUAUUCAAACAAAAAUUAUUCUAUUUCAUGUCCAAAUUGGCUAUACUGUAUAGGCUAAGGGGGUCCAAACUUUUCCCAGCGAGGGUUGCAUCAAAAAUCAAAGGAUACGGGGGUCACUUUGAGUUAUGUUUUGUAAACCAACCCAUGCAUACAGUAUAUGCUAACAAGUUAUAUAUAUUUAAAGAAAAACAGCCUGCAUCUCAGCUUUGUGUUACAGGUGACAAAUUUAUUCUUUGUUUUGUUCCAAACAUU